RNAcentral lists this unclassified non-coding RNA (201 nucleotides) under Hevea brasiliensis (rubber tree). The record is from RNAcentral. Lineage: Eukaryota; Viridiplantae; Streptophyta; Magnoliopsida; Malpighiales; Euphorbiaceae.
GAGUUUGACAAGAUUCUGAUAUAUUCCAAGCAGGUUGGAUAUACACCUGAUUAUUUGUUCCUUCUUCAAACAAUUCUUCGAUCUGAUCCUCAGGGAGCUGUUAACUUUGCACUCAUGAUGUCCCAAAUGGAGGGCGGUUGUCCAGUUGAUUAUAAUACAAUCACUGACCUUUUUCUACAGAGGAACAUGAUCCGUGAGGCA